RNAcentral lists this ribosomal RNA (484 nucleotides) under uncultured bacterium. RNAcentral's name for it is "partial 16S ribosomal RNA". It matches the Rfam family "Bacterial small subunit ribosomal RNA", at positions 28 to 507 of the family's 1533-position model. The record is from RNAcentral.
AUUGAACGCUGGCGGCAUGCUUUACACAUGCAAGUCGAACGGCAGCGCGGGCUUCGGCCUGGCGGCGAGUGGCGAACGGGUGAGUAAUGCAUCGGAACGUGCCCAGUAGUGGGGGAUAGCCCGGCGAAAGCCGGAUUAAUACCGCAUACGACCUGAGGGUGAAAGCGGGGGACCGAAAGGCCUCGCGCUAUUGGAGCGGCCGAUGUCGGAUUAGCUAGUUGGUGGGGUAAAGGCUUACCAAGGCGACGAUCCGUAGCUGGUCUGAGAGGACGACCAGCCACACUGGGACUGAGACACGGCCCAGACUCCUACGGGAGGCAGCAGUGGGGAAUGUUGGACAGUGGGGGCGACCCUGAUCCAGCCAUGCCGCGUGCGGGAAGAAGGCCUUCGGGUUGUAAACCGCUUUUGUUCGGGAAGAAAUCCUCUGGGCUAAUACCCCGGGGGGAUGACGGUACCGGAAGAAUAAGCACCGGCUAACUACGUG